AUUGAACGCUGGCGGCAUGCCUUACACAUGCAAGUCGAACAGCAGCAUGGGUGCUUGCACCUGAUGGCGAGUGGCGAACGGGUGAGUAAUGCAUCGGAACGUACCCGGAAGUGGGGGAUAACGUAGCGAAAGUUACGCUAAUACCGCAUAUUCUGUGAGCAGGAAAGCGGGGGAUCGCAAGACCUCGCGCUUCCGGAGCGGCCGAUGUCGGAUUAGCUAGUUGGCGGGGUAAAGGCCCACCAAGGCAACGAUCCGUAGCGGGUCUGAGAGGAUGAUCCGCCACACUUGGACUGAGACGCGGCCCAGACUCCUACGGGAGGCAGCAGUGGGGAAUUUUGGACAAUGUGCGCAAGCCUGAUCCAGCCAUGCCGCGUGAGUGAAGAAGGCCUUCGGGUUGUAAAGCUCUUUCGGCUGGGAAGAAAUCGCAUCUCCUAAUACGGGGUGUGGAUGACGGUACCAGCAUAAGAAGCACCGGCUAACUACGUGCCAGCAGCCGCGGUAA
Molecule: ribosomal RNA, 502 nt
Filed under: uncultured bacterium
Lineage: Bacteria
Description: partial 16S ribosomal RNA
Rfam family: Bacterial small subunit ribosomal RNA
Source: RNAcentral